GACGAACGCUGGCGGCGUGCUUAACACAUGCAAGUCGAACGAGUCCACCCUUUCGGGGGUGAGGCGAGUGGCGGACGGGUGCGUAACACGUGAGCAACCUGUCCCUGUGCGGGGGACAACCCGGGGAAACCCGGGCUAAUACCGCAUGGGCCGGCACCUCGAGUGGGGCGCCGGGGAAAGACGGCCUCCUCACAAUGCUGUCGCGCAGGGAGGGGCUCGCGGGCUAUCAGCUUGUUGGUAGGGUAAUGGCCUACCAAGGCUGCGACGGCUAGGGGGUCUGAGAGGACGACCCCCCACAUUGGAACUGAGACACGGUCCAGACUCCUACGGGAGGCAGCAGUGGGGAAUUUUGGGCAAUGGCCGAAAGGCUGACCCAGCGACGCCGCGUGCGGGAGGACGCUUUUCGGAGUGUAAACCGCUGUCAGAGGGGAAGAAACGUCGGGUGGUGAACAGUCACCCGGCCUGACGGUACCCUCAAAGGAAGCACCGGCUAACUCUGU
Molecule: ribosomal RNA, 500 nt
Filed under: uncultured bacterium
Lineage: Bacteria
Description: bacterial SSU rRNA
Rfam family: Bacterial small subunit ribosomal RNA
Source: RNAcentral